This 425-nucleotide ribosomal RNA is filed under the name uncultured bacterium. RNAcentral describes it as "bacterial SSU rRNA". It matches the Rfam family "Bacterial small subunit ribosomal RNA", at positions 359 to 776 of the family's 1533-position model. The record is from RNAcentral.
GAAUAUUGCGCAAUGGGGGCAACCCUGACGCAGCCAUGCCGCGUGUGUGAAGAAGGCCCUAGGGUUGUAAAGCACUUUCAGUAAGGAGGAAGGCUGUACGGUUAAUACCCGUGCAGAUUGACGUUACUUACAGAAGAAGCACCGGCUAACUCCGUGCCAGCAGCCGCGGUAAUACGGAGGGUGCAAGCGUUAAUCGGAAUGACUGGGCGUAAAGCGCACGUAGGUGGUUUGUUAAGUUGAAUGUGAAAGCCCUGGGCUCAACCUGGGAAUUGCAUCCAAAACUGGCAGGCUAGAGUACAGUAGAGGGAGGUAGAAUUUCCGGUGUAGCGGUGAAAUGCGUAGAGAUCGGAAGGAAUACCAGUGGCGAAGGCGGCCUCCUGGACUGAUACUGACACUGAUGUGCGAAAGCGUGGGUAGCGAACAGG